UUUGCAGAAAUGGUUCAAGUGAGCGUGUAUUUUGCUCAUUUUACAAAUAUAAAAUGAUUUUUGGGCUUUUAUAAAAGGAAAUGAGUUUAGGGUUUUUAAGUCCCGUUUCUUUUGUUUGAUGAAGGCGUAUGAACCCAAGGCAGCAAAGGAGCGGAAGCGUCAUUCCUAGUGCAGGAGAAAUCGAGCACCAACUUCGAUUUGGAGAGUUUCGACCCUUGGUUCCUUGCUCGUCGCAAGCCAAAAACGGGACCGAGGGGGGUAUCUGCGAAUUCAGAUCGCGUGGAGGGAGGAGUCUCCGGGUCGGCUAGAGCGAAGGAAGAAGAAGAAUGAAGCAGCAACCUGCUGGGUGAAGCUGUGAGGAGGUGAGCGCCUCCGACGUUCGAAUGGUCCGAAGAAAAGAGAAGGGACGAAGCAGCGAGGCUGCUCUCCUUCUCCGAUGAUGAGGUGUGAAGGGGGGAAAGGGAGGCCAGAAGGGGUUCGUCGGUCUUGGUAGGUGCAACAAGGGCUGCCCAAGCAGUUCCCGGCUGCUUCUCGUUCGAUUCUGGUAGCAUAUGCGAAGCGGAGGAGGACAUUUGGCCCUCUGGAGCAAGGCAAGCGGAAACAGCAGCUUCGGUGGGGGUUUUCGCAGUAGUGCUCGAUAGAAGAAGAAGAAUGAAGCUGCGGUGGUCUUCGGUGGGUGCAGAUGGGAGUUGUAGGGCGGCAGUGUGUCGUCUCGGGUGGUGGCUGUCGGCGUUUCCGACUGCUUUUUCGGGGUGUACAUGAGAUCUAGAACAAAGUGUUCUUGGCUGAAAAAGAAAGGUGUAGGCAGAAGGGUCGAUCAAAGAGGGGUGUUUGUUUGACAGUAAUUGAUGAAUGGAAUGGACGAUUGUGUUGUUUGAUUUUAUCUAUAUCAGUCUGUAGUUGAGUUUUAGUGUUCUUUUUAGCAUUGUACAGGUUUUGUUUGAGUGUAGAUUUGGGUUGAAGAAA
Molecule: long non-coding RNA, 966 nt
Organism: Lactuca sativa (garden lettuce)
Lineage: Eukaryota; Viridiplantae; Streptophyta; Magnoliopsida; Asterales; Asteraceae
Source: RefSeq, a predicted model, not a curated record